UACGUAGGGAGCAAGCGUUGUCCGGAAUCAUUGGGCGUAAAGCGCGCGUAGGUGGCUUCGUAAGUCCGUUGUGAAAGUCAAAGGCUCAACCUUUGAAAGCCGAUGGAUACUGUGAAGCUAGAGUACGGAAGAGGCGAGUGGAAUUCCUGGUGUAGCGGUGGAAUGCGCAGAUAUCAGGAGGAACACCGGUGGCGAAGGCGGGACUCUGGGCCGAUACUGACGCUGAGGAGCGAAAGCGUGGGGAGCAAACAGG
Molecule: ribosomal RNA, 253 nt
Filed under: uncultured bacterium
Lineage: Bacteria
Description: partial 16S ribosomal RNA
Rfam family: Bacterial small subunit ribosomal RNA
Source: RNAcentral